RNAcentral lists this ribosomal RNA (1062 nucleotides) under Triticum aestivum (bread wheat). RNAcentral describes it as "partial small subunit ribosomal RNA". Lineage: Eukaryota; Viridiplantae; Streptophyta; Magnoliopsida; Poales; Poaceae. The record is from RNAcentral.
AUGAACAUUGCUCUCCUGACCCGAUGGCUUUGGCGUAUCGCCAAUGGGGAGGGAGGACUCUGGCUUACCAUCAUCCAAAAUAAGUACCUCAGGGGCCAACCUCUAGCUUUCUGUCAGCGCUCUGGUGGCUCCCAGUUCUGGCAGGCUGUGAUCCAACUCCUUCCCUUCCUCCGCAUCGGCACGUCCAUCUCGGUUGGCUCCGGGUCCUCGACCCUAUUCUGGUUCGAUCGUUGGUUAGGGGAUUCUCGCCUGGCUGCUCGAUUCCCGGAACUAUUUUCCAUAGCGGUUGACCGUCUGGUCUCUGUCGAGAUGACCCUUAUUGGCUUAGGGCUUCUCGCUUUCUGGCGCCCAUUCGCCCCCCCUGAGGUGGCCGCUUGGGACUCCCUCCUCCAGGACAUCGCCCUUCUGCCGAUGGACGUCGAGGGUACCCCUGAUUCCUUCACUUGGCGUCUGGAGCCCUCUGGCCGCUUCUCCACUAAGUCCUUACACGCAGCCAUCGCACCCUCGUCAUCCCCUGAGCCCUUUAGCCUGAUCUGGGACAUUCGCCUGCCUCUGAAGAUCAGGAUCUUCCUGUGGCAGUGGAUCUGUGGACAUCUCCCCUCCGGGGUUGAGGUCCUCAAGCGUAAUGGGCCAGGAGAUGGGAUGUGCCCCAUGUGCGGCAUGGUGGAGGAUGCUAACCACAUCUUCUUCUCGUGCUCCACUGCCCAGUUCCUGUGGGCCUGCUUCCGCGAGACGGUCGGUGGACAGUGGUGCAACACCAACUUCCCCGACUUACUUGCGGAGAUCCACGCCUCCUCCCCUCGCUACCGCCAUAUUAGAUGGCUGUGUGUUGGGGUCCUUGCCUGGACGCUUUGGACCAUCUGCAACAAGCUUGUUAUUCAGAAAGUGCCUCUCCGACGUGCGACUGACGCGAUCUUUAAAAUGUGUGGCUACUUGCAGCUUUGGCGGCCGCUUAGCCGCCCCCAGGACCGGGACGCCAUCAACACCCUCCUCGCCGACCUUCGCUUGAUGGCCUUCCGCGUGGCUCCCCCGCUGCCGCACCCUCCACCGGAGCCCGACUAG